Molecule: ribosomal RNA, 946 nt
Filed under: Pseudomonas brassicacearum
Lineage: Bacteria; Pseudomonadati; Pseudomonadota; Gammaproteobacteria; Pseudomonadales; Pseudomonadaceae
Description: bacterial SSU rRNA
Rfam family: Bacterial small subunit ribosomal RNA
Source: RNAcentral
UGGCGGCAGGCCUAACACAUGCAAGUCGAGCGGUAGAGAGGUGCUUGCACCUCUUGAGAGCGGCGGACGGGUGAGUAAUGCCUAGGAAUCUGCCUGGUAGUGGGGGAUAACGCUCGGAAACGGACGCUAAUACCGCAUACGUCCUACGGGAGAAAGCAGGGGACCUUCGGGCCUUGCGCUAUCAGAUGAGCCUAGGUCGGAUUAGCUAGUUGGUGGGGUAAUGGCUCACCAAGGCGACGAUCCGUAACUGGUCUGAGAGGAUGAUCAGUCACACUGGAACUGAGACACGGUCCAGACUCCUACGGGAGGCAGCAGUGGGGAAUAUUGGACAAUGGGCGAAAGCCUGAUCCAGCCAUGCCGCGUGUGUGAAGAAGGUCUUCGGAUUGUAAAGCACUUUAAGUUGGGAGGAAGGGCAUUAACCUAAUACGUUAGUGUUUUGACGUUACCGACAGAAUAAGCACCGGCUAACUCUGUGCCAGCAGCCGCGGUAAUACAGAGGGUGCAAGCGUUAAUCGGAAUUACUGGGCGUAAAGCGCGCGUAGGUGGUUCGUUAAGUUGGAUGUGAAAUCCCCGGGCUCAACCUGGGAACUGCAUUCAAAACUGUCGAGCUAGAGUAUGGUAGAGGGUGGUGGAAUUUCCUGUGUAGCGGUGAAAUGCGUAGAUAUAGGAAGGAACACCAGUGGCGAAGGCGACCACCUGGACUGAUACUGACACUGAGGUGCGAAAGCGUGGGGAGCAAACAGGAUUAGAUACCCUGGUAGUCCACGCCGUAAACGAUGUCAACUAGCCGUUGGGAGCCUUGAGCUCUUAGUGGCGCACGUAACGCAUUAAGUUGACCGCCUGGGGAGUACGGCCGCAAGGUUAAAACUCAAAUGAAUUGACGGGGGCCCGCACAAGCGGUGGACGAUGUGGUUUAAUUCGAAGCAACGCGAAGAACCUUACCAGG